RNAcentral lists this small RNA (205 nucleotides) under Catenulispora sp. RNAcentral's name for it is "c-di-AMP sequence". It matches the Rfam family "c-di-AMP riboswitch aptamer (ydaO/yuaA leader)". Rfam says of the family: This family represents a conserved RNA structure found upstream of the ydaO and yuaA genes in Bacillus subtilis and related genes in other bacteria. The record is from RNAcentral. Lineage: Bacteria; Bacillati; Actinomycetota; Actinomycetes; Catenulisporales; Catenulisporaceae.
GUCGGGGCACCGCCGAGUCCGCGAUCCUCGCGGAGCCGGGGAACCAGGUUCGUCGGCGUCACCCGCCGUCUUCACGACGCGGGGGCGCCAGGGGUGAAUCGGUCGGCGUCGGCGCGCUCCCCAACGGGCGCGUGCGGCGCCGCCGUAGGGCUACUUCUUCGGCCCGAAUCCGUCAGCUAACCCGGUAGGCGGACGAGGAGGAGAU